GAUGAACGCUGGCGGCGUGCUUAACACAUGCAAGUCGAACGGAAAGGCCCUGCUUUUGUGGGGUGCUCGAGUGGCGAACGGGUGAGUAACACGUGAGUAACCUGCCCUUGACUUUGGGAUAACUUCAGGAAACUGGGGCUAAUACCGGAUAGGAGCUCCUGCUGCAUGGUGGGGGUUGGAAAGUUUCGGCGGUUGGGGAUGGACUCGCGGCUUAUCCGCUUGUUGGUGGGGUAGUGGCUUACCAAGGCUUUGACGGGUAGCCGGCCUGAGAGGGUGACCGGCCACAUUGGGACUAAGAUACGGCCCAGAAUCCUACGGGAGGCAGCAGUGGGGAAUAUUGCACAAUGGGCGGAAGCCUGAUACAGCAACGCCGCGUGCGGGAUGACGGCCUUCGGGUUGUAAACCGCUUUCGCCUGUGACGAAGCGUGAGUGACGGUAAUGGGUAAAGAAGCACCGGCUAACUACGUG
This 468-nucleotide ribosomal RNA is filed under the name uncultured bacterium. Its description in RNAcentral is "partial 16S ribosomal RNA". It matches the Rfam family "Bacterial small subunit ribosomal RNA", at positions 28 to 507 of the family's 1533-position model. The record is from RNAcentral.